This 265-nucleotide ribosomal RNA is filed under the name uncultured bacterium. Its description in RNAcentral is "partial 16S ribosomal RNA". It matches the Rfam family "Bacterial small subunit ribosomal RNA", at positions 355 to 636 of the family's 1533-position model. The record is from RNAcentral.
UAGGGAAUAUUGCACAAUGCGCGAAAGCUUGAUGCAGCAACGCCGCGUGCGCGAUGACGGCCUUCGGGUUGUAAAGCGCUUUUCGGGGAGAUGAGGAAGGACAGUAUCCCCGGAAUAAGUCUCGGCUAACUACGCGCCAGCAGCCGCGGUAACACGUAGGAGGCAAGCGUUAUCCGAAUUUACUGGGCGUAAAGCGCGUGCAGGCGGUUCGGUAAGUUGGAUGUGAAAUCUCCCGGCUCAACUGGGAGGGGACGUUCAAUACUGU